Mesocricetus auratus (golden hamster) is the source of this 271-nucleotide non-coding RNA. NCBI's taxonomy places the organism in Eukaryota, Metazoa, Chordata, Mammalia, Rodentia, Cricetidae. The record is from Rfam.
CUACAUAAGGGUGAUGUGACUGUAAUGUCUGUUGCUCCAUUGAAGUUGAUAUGGCUGUCUCUUCCCUCCCUCAGUGUUCGAUAUGCAUGUCUCCCAAAGCUAGGUGCGUGGUCAUAGCUGGCUUUCCCUGUGGGGAGGACUGUUCUCCUGUCAAGGAUAUAUGAGUAGUUCUGCUCUUCUGCUAGAACCUCCAAACAAAACUCAAGAAUGGUGCUGGAGCCGGAGAGAUGGCUCAGCAGGUUAAGGCCCUUGCUGUCAAGCCUGUCUACCU